RNAcentral lists this ribosomal RNA (1369 nucleotides) under uncultured bacterium. Its description in RNAcentral is "bacterial SSU rRNA". It matches the Rfam family "Bacterial small subunit ribosomal RNA", at positions 28 to 1381 of the family's 1533-position model. The record is from RNAcentral.
GACGAACGCUGGCGGCGUGCCUAAUACAUGCAAGUAGAACGCUGAAGAGAGGAGCUUGCUCUUCUUGGAUGAGUUGCGAACGGGUGAGUAACGCGUAGGUAACCUGCCUUGUAGCGGGGGAUAACUAUUGGAAACGAUAGCUAAUACCGCAUAACAAUGGAUGACACAUGUCAUUUAUUUGAAAGGGGCAAUUGCUCCACUACAAGAUGGACCUGCGUUGUAUUAGCUAGUAGGUGAGGUAAUGGCUCACCUAGGCGACGAUACAUAGCCGACCUGAGAGGGUGAUCGGCCACACUGGGACUGAGACACGGCCCAGACUCCUACGGGAGGCAGCAGUAGGGAAUCUUCGGCAAUGGGGGCAACCCUGACCGAGCAACGCCGCGUGAGUGAAGAAGGUUUUCGGAUCGUAAAGCUCUGUUGUAAGUCAAGAACGGGUGUGAGAGUGGAAAGUUCACACUGUGACGGUAGCUUACCAGAAAGGGACGGCUAACUACGUGCCAGCAGCCGCGGUAAUACGUAGGUCCCGAGCGUUGUCCGGAUUUAUUGGGCGUAAAGCGAGCGCAGGCGGUUUGAUAAGUCUGAAGUUAAAGGCUGUGGCUCAACCAUAGUUCGCUUUGGAAACUGUCAAACUUGAGUGCAGAAGGGGAGAGUGGAAUUCCAUGUGUAGCGGUGAAAUGCGUAGAUAUAUGGAGGAACACCGGUGGCGAAAGCGGCUCUCUGGUCUGUAACUGACGCUGAGGCUCGAAAGCGUGGGGAGCGAACAGGAUUAGAUACCCUGGUAGUCCACGCCGUAAACGAUGAGUGCUAGGUGUUGGAUCCUUUCCGGGAUUCAGUGCCGCAGCUAACGCAUUAAGCACUCCGCCUGGGGAGUACGACCGCAAGGUUGAAACUCAAAGGGAUUGACGGGGGCCCGCACAAGCGGUGGAGCAUGUGGUUUAAUUCGAAGCAACGCGAAGAGCCUUACCAGGUCUUGACAUCCCGAUGCUAUUUCUAGAGAUAGAAAGUUACUUCGGUACAUCGGUGACAGGUGGUGCAUGGUUGUCGUCAGCUCGUGUCGUGAGAUGUUGGGUUAAGUCCCGCAACGAGCGCAACCCCUAUUGUUAGUUGCCAUCAUUCAGUUGGGCACUCUAGCGAGACUGCCGGUAAUAAACCGGAGGAAGGUGGGGAUGACGUCAAAUCAUCAUGCCCCUUAUGACCUGGGCUACACACGUGCUACAAUGGUUGGUACAACGAGUUGCGAGUCGGUGACGGCGAGCUAAUCUCUUAAAGCCAAUCUCAGUUCGGAUUGUAGGCUGCAACUCGCCUACAUGAAGUCGGAAUCGCUAGUAAUCGCGGAUCAGCACGCCGCGGUGAAUACGUUCCCGGGCCU